CCUACGGGUGGCUGCAGUGGGGAAUAUUGCGCAAUGGGCGACAGCCUGACGCAGCGACGCCGCGGGAGGGAUGAAGGUCUUCGGAUCGUAAAACUCUGUGAGCAGGGAAGAACGGUCACUGUGCUAAUCAGCAGUGAAUUGACGGUACCUGCAAAGGAAGCAACGGCUAACUCCGUGCCAGCAGCCGCUGUAAUACGGAGGGUGCGAGCGUUAAUCGGAAUUACUGGGCGUAAAGCGCUCGUAGGCGGUAUGCUAAGUCAAGGGUGAAAGCCCCGCGCUCAACGUGGGAACUGCCUUUGAAACUGGCAAACUUGAGUGUGUGAGAGGAUAGUGGAAUUCCAGGUGUAGGAGUGAAAUCCGUAGAUAUCUGGAGGAACAUCAGUGGCGAAGGCGACUAUCUGGCACAUAACUGACGCUGAGGAGCGAAAGCGUGGGUAGCAAACAGGAUUAGAUACCCUUGUAGUC
Molecule: ribosomal RNA, 465 nt
Filed under: uncultured bacterium
Lineage: Bacteria
Description: partial 16S ribosomal RNA
Rfam family: Bacterial small subunit ribosomal RNA
Source: RNAcentral